This is a long non-coding RNA of Bos taurus (domestic cattle), 367 nucleotides long. Lineage: Eukaryota; Metazoa; Chordata; Mammalia; Artiodactyla; Bovidae. The record is from Ensembl.
GGCCAAUCAUCUUGUUUGUUCCCGUAUUUGGUCCGACUCAGGGCCUCCCUCGCUGCGGACUCAGUCAAGAUGAGUUCCAGCGCCAGAGCUUCUGGGAGGACAUAUUAUAGGCUGACAUCGCCUUCUGCUUUGGCUCCUCCCGAGUUCUUCUGGUCUGGCAGCAGCUUGUCUGCACUGUGUUCUUUAUCAGGACCUCCUGUUGAGAAACAACUCGUACAAAGGGUUACUGUCGUGCCUGAUUGGGAAGGAAUAUAAUCUAUGUCUCCGUGCUGCUGCUGCUAAGUUGCUUCAGUCGUGUCUGACUCUGUGCAACCCCAGAGAUGGCAGCCCAGCAGGCUCCCCUGUCCCUGGGAUUCUCAAGGCAAGA